Long non-coding RNA from Bos taurus (domestic cattle), 582 nucleotides. The record is from Ensembl. Lineage: Eukaryota; Metazoa; Chordata; Mammalia; Artiodactyla; Bovidae.
UGCCUGAGCCAAGACAGGGUUUAAAGUGAUCCAGUGGCUCAGGUCCAGACAUUUUAAGGAAGUAGAAAUUCAUCAUCCGAUUGCUGUAUCCUAAUGCUGGACCAAAAUCUUAUUUACUCAGAAUGUCUGAGUUUUAUGCAAUGGCCAGGCUGUAACUAGGAAGUUUACUAAAAGCCAUGAGUUGGAUUCCCACAUCUGGGUGAUCAGCAGAGCUCUCCUCUUUCAGCCCUUACGUCUUCCAAAGUUCCCCUUCCCCAGACACAGACUCUGGGCAGGUCUGCUGGCCACUUCCGUGGAAGACCAUCCCUUUCCUUCCUGCAUCUCUUCCAGACUCCUCCCAGAUGUCCUUCUCAUGCGUGUCAGCAGCAGCAGAAGUCAAGGAGUCACUCUCUACCCUGGACUGUGGGACCAUCUGAACCAGAAGUCAGCUAGAAGGCACGUGAAGGACUUGGCAUCGUUCACUCCUGCUGGGACCUUCCACCUGUCCGAGAGGGACCUGACACCUUCCUCUGCCUGUUCAGCUCUCACCCACUAUGCACGUCCUGGUCCAAGUGCCACAGGUGCUCUGAAGACUCCCUAAGC